CCUACGGGUGGCUGCAGUCGAGGAUCUUCGUCAAUGGGCGAAAGCCUGAACGAGCGACGCCGCGUGCGCGAUGAAGGCCUUCGGGUUGUAAAGCGCGAAAGUGGGGACGAAGCCGAAAGGUUGACCGAUCCACAGUAAGCUCGGGCUAAGUUCGUGCCAGCAGCCGCGGUAAGACGAACCGAGCGAACGUUGUUCGGAAUCACUGGGCUUAAAGGGCGCGUAGGCGGGUGGAUAAGUCUGUGGUGAAAUCCGGCAGCUCAACUGUCGAAUUGCCCUGGGUACUGUCCAUCUCGAGGGAGGUAGGGGUGCGCGGAACUAAUGGUGGAGCGGUGAAAUGCGUUGAUAUCAUUAGGAACUCCGGUGGCGAAGGCGGCGCACUGGACCUCUUCUGACGCUGAGGCGCGAAAGCCAGGGGAGCAAACGGGAUUAGAUACCCCUGUAGUC
This 444-nucleotide ribosomal RNA is filed under the name uncultured Gemmata sp. RNAcentral describes it as "bacterial SSU rRNA". It matches the Rfam family "Bacterial small subunit ribosomal RNA", at positions 338 to 795 of the family's 1533-position model. Lineage: Bacteria; Pseudomonadati; Planctomycetota; Planctomycetia; Gemmatales; Gemmataceae. The record is from RNAcentral.